Caldicellulosiruptor saccharolyticus DSM 8903 is the source of this 30-nucleotide non-coding RNA. The record is from Rfam. Lineage: Bacteria; Bacillati; Bacillota; Caldicellulosiruptorales; Caldicellulosiruptoraceae.
GUUUCAAUCCCCAAAGGGAAGGCUACAAAC